RNAcentral lists this transfer RNA (75 nucleotides) under Tripos fusus. RNAcentral's name for it is "partial Selenocysteine transfer RNA". The record is from RNAcentral. Lineage: Eukaryota; Dinophyceae; Gonyaulacales; Ceratiaceae.
GAUCCAGCCUGGUGGAGGCUCUGGUCAUUUCCAACCCGGUGGAGGCUCUGUUCAGUGCCAGCCUGCUGGGGGUUC